This 253-nucleotide ribosomal RNA is filed under the name uncultured bacterium. RNAcentral's name for it is "partial 16S ribosomal RNA". It matches the Rfam family "Bacterial small subunit ribosomal RNA", at positions 524 to 776 of the family's 1533-position model. The record is from RNAcentral.
UACGGAGGGUGCAAGCGUUAGUCGGAAUUACUGGGCGUAAAGGGUGCGUAGGCGGGGACAAACGUCAGGUGUGAAAUUCCGGGGCUCAACCCCGGCGCUGCAUCUGAAACGGUGUCUCUUGAGGACUGGCGGAGAGAAUGGAAUUCCAUGUGUAGCGGUGAAAUGCGUAGAUAUAUGGAAGAACACCUGUAGCGAAAGCGAUUCUCUAGCUUAAUCCUGACGCUGAGGCACGAGAGCAAGGGGAGCAAACAGG